This 496-nucleotide ribosomal RNA is filed under the name uncultured bacterium. Its description in RNAcentral is "partial 16S ribosomal RNA". It matches the Rfam family "Bacterial small subunit ribosomal RNA", at positions 28 to 507 of the family's 1533-position model. The record is from RNAcentral.
GACGAACGCUGGCGGCGUGCCUAAUACUGCAAGUUGAGCGCUGAAGGUUGGUACUUGUACCAACUGGAUGAGCAGCGAACGGGUGAGUAACGCGUGGGGAAUCUGCCUUUGAGCGGGGGACAACAUUUGGAAACGAAUGCUAAUACCGCAUAAAAACUUUAAACACAAGUUUUAAGUUUGAAAGAUGCAAUUGCAUCACUCAAAGAUGAUCCCGCGUUGUAUUAGCUAGUUGGUGAGGUAAAGGCUCACCAAGGCGAUGAUACAUAGCCGACCUGAGAGGGUGAUCGGCCACAUUGGGACUGAGACACGGCCCAAACUCCUACGGGAGGCAGCAGUAGGGAAUCUUCGGCAAUGGACGAAAGUCUGACCGAGCAACGCCGCGUGAGUGAAGAAGGUUUUCGGAUCGUAAAACUCUGUUGGUAGAGAAGAACGUUGGUGAGAGUGGAAAGCUCAUCAAGUGACGGUAACUACCCAGAAAGGGACGGCUAACUACGUG